Molecule: long non-coding RNA, 397 nt
Organism: Telopea speciosissima
Lineage: Eukaryota; Viridiplantae; Streptophyta; Magnoliopsida; Proteales; Proteaceae
Exons: 3
Source: RefSeq, a predicted model, not a curated record
GUUUCUGGAUUACAAAUACUAACUCGCACUUGAGUUGGAUGGACACUGUCAGUCAGGUAUGCAACCUGGUGUGGUCUAAGAAUGUCAACAAAUUAGUUUGCACCCAUGGCUACUCUCAAAAACAAAUAAUUGUGUGGAGAUAUCCUACAAUGUCGAAGUUGGCAACACUUACUGGGCAUACAUAUAGAGUUCUAUAUUUUGCGAUAUCACCUGAUGUUCAGGUACUUAAAAUUCCACUCUUUGAAUUCAUUUUUUCCUUGAUCAUCUGACUCUGCAUUACCAUUCCUUUGCUUUUUUUCUUUUCAUAAAUUUAAUAAAUGUCCUUGUCCUUGGACAAUUGUCACCGAGGCAGGAAAUGAAACUCUUACAUUCUGGAAUGUUUUCCCUUGUCCAAAAU